RNAcentral lists this non-coding RNA (30 nucleotides) under Rattus norvegicus (Norway rat). The record is from RNAcentral. Lineage: Eukaryota; Metazoa; Chordata; Mammalia; Rodentia; Muridae.
GAUUCAUGUAGAGAUUGAUGACCUCAUCAU